CAACCCUUAAGCUUAGCUUAGUGUUGGGAAUCUACCGCGAGUGGUGCUACCCUGUAGCUACCCUGUAGUUCCUCAAAUUCAACGGCGGAGUUAUAGUUACCUCUGAGCGCAGUAAUACUUAUCACGCUUAGGAAGUGCUAUAAUUUUAGCCGCUAAACCCCCAAUUUUUUAAU
Molecule: unclassified non-coding RNA, 173 nt
Filed under: uncultured Subulispora
Lineage: Eukaryota; Fungi; Ascomycota
Description: sequence contains ITS2
Source: RNAcentral